Molecule: ribosomal RNA, 253 nt
Filed under: uncultured bacterium
Lineage: Bacteria
Description: partial 16S ribosomal RNA
Rfam family: Bacterial small subunit ribosomal RNA
Source: RNAcentral
UACAGAGGGGGCAAGCGUUGUUCGGAAUUACUGGGCGUAAAGGGCGCGUAGGCGGCCUGUUAAGUCGAACGUGAAAUCCCCGGGCUCAACCCGGGAACUGCGUCCGAUACUGGCAGGCUUGAAUCCAGGAGAGGUGAGUGGAAUUCCGAGUGUAGAGGUGAAAUUCGUAGAUAUUCGGAAGAACACCAGUGGCGAAGGCGGCUCACUGGACUGGUAUUGACGCUGAGGUGCGAAAGCGUGGGGAGCAAACAGG